UAAGGAAUAUUGGUCAAUGGACGCAAGUCUGAACCAGCCAUGCCGCGUGAAGGAUGAAGGUCCUCUGGAUUGUAAACUUCUUUUAUCUGGGACGAAAACGGGAUUUUUAUCUCAAUUGACGGUACCAGAGGAAUAAGCACCGGCUAACUCCGUGCCAGCAGCCGCGGUAAUACGGAGGGUGCGAGCGUUAUCCGGAUUUACUGGGUUUAAAGGGUGCGUAGGUGGGCUUAUAAGUCAGUGGUGAAAUCCCCGAGCUUAACUUGGGAACUGCCAUUGAUACUAUAUAUCUUGAAUACCGUAGAGGUAAGCGGAAUAUGUCAUGUAGCGGUGAAAUGCUUAGAUAUGACAUGGAACACCAAUUGCGAAGGCAGCUUACUAUGCGGUGAUUGACACUGAGGCACGAAAGCGUGGGUAGCAAACA
RNAcentral lists this ribosomal RNA (421 nucleotides) under uncultured bacterium. RNAcentral's name for it is "bacterial SSU rRNA". It matches the Rfam family "Bacterial small subunit ribosomal RNA", at positions 355 to 774 of the family's 1533-position model. The record is from RNAcentral.